RNAcentral lists this long non-coding RNA (206 nucleotides) under Elaeis guineensis (African oil palm). Its description in RNAcentral is "long non-coding RNA (EGUI_LNC026430)". Lineage: Eukaryota; Viridiplantae; Streptophyta; Magnoliopsida; Arecales; Arecaceae. The record is from RNAcentral.
UUUCCUCCUUCAGUCUUCACUAAAGAACUUGUAACUAACUCCACAUUAAGAGAAGUCACUCCAAGAGAAGCUGCUUGGGAUUGGUUUAAGGGAAAAUUAGCACUUUUGUCUUUUACUUAAUUUGUUCAAGAAGGGAUUCACAUGAUGGAGAGCCCCUCUCAUUCGAUGAGAUAGGUCCUUCCUUAACUGGAUCUAGCCGAUCCCAC